UACGUAGGGUGCAAGCGUUGUCCGGAAUUAUUGGGCGUAAAGAGCUCGUAGGCGGUCUGUCGCGUCGGCUGUGAAAACCCGGGGCUCAACCCCGGGCCUGCAGUCGAUACGGGCAGGCUAGAGUGUGGUAGGGGAGAUCGGAAUUCCUGGUGUAGCGGUGAAAUGCGCAGAUAUCAGGAGGAACACCGGUGGCGAAGGCGGAUCUCUGGGCCAUUACUGACGCUGAGGAGCGAAAGCGUGGGGAGCGAACAGG
This 253-nucleotide ribosomal RNA is filed under the name uncultured bacterium. Its description in RNAcentral is "partial 16S ribosomal RNA". It matches the Rfam family "Bacterial small subunit ribosomal RNA", at positions 524 to 776 of the family's 1533-position model. The record is from RNAcentral.